GUGGGGAAUAUUGGACAAUGGGCGAAAGCCUGAUCCAGCCAUGCCGCGUGAGUGAUGAAGGCCUUAGGGUUGUAAAGCUCUUUUGUCCGGGAAGAUAAUGACUGUACCGGAAGAAUAAGCCCCGGCUAACUUCGUGCCAGCAGCCGCGGUAAUACGAAGGGGGCUAGCGUUGUUCGGAAUCACUGGGCGUAAAGCGCACGUAGGCGGACCAUUAAGUCAGGGGUGAAAGCCUGGAGCUCAACUCCAGAACUGCCUUUGAUACUGAUGGUCUCGAGUAUGGAAGAGGUUGGUGGAACUGCGAGUGUAGAGGUGAAAUUCGUAGAUAUUCGCAAGAACACCGGUGGCGAAGGCGGCCAACUGGUCCAUUACUGACGCUGAGGUGCGAAAGCGUGGGGAGCAAACAGGAUUAGAAACCCCAGUAGUCC
RNAcentral lists this ribosomal RNA (425 nucleotides) under uncultured bacterium. Its description in RNAcentral is "partial 16S ribosomal RNA". It matches the Rfam family "Bacterial small subunit ribosomal RNA", at positions 354 to 796 of the family's 1533-position model. The record is from RNAcentral.